RNAcentral lists this microRNA precursor (65 nucleotides) under Pristionchus pacificus. RNAcentral describes it as "mir-8364 microRNA precursor family". It matches the Rfam family "mir-8364 microRNA precursor family". Lineage: Eukaryota; Metazoa; Nematoda; Chromadorea; Rhabditida; Neodiplogasteridae. The record is from Rfam by way of RNAcentral.
UCUUCAUUUCACGUGCUCUCUCACCAGUCAGAGAGGCGAGAGAGAGAGAGUGUGAAAUGAAGAGA